Molecule: ribosomal RNA, 497 nt
Filed under: uncultured bacterium
Lineage: Bacteria
Description: partial 16S ribosomal RNA
Rfam family: Bacterial small subunit ribosomal RNA
Source: RNAcentral
GAUGAACGCUGGCGGCGUGCCUAAUACAUGCAAGUCGAGCGAACAGACGAGGAGCUUGCUCCUCUGACGUUAGCGGCGGACGGGUGAGUAACACGUGGAUAACCUACCUAUAAGACUGGGAUAACUUCGGGAAACCGGAGCUAAUACCGGAUAAUAUAUUGAACCGCAUGGUUCAAUAGUGAAAGACGGUUUUGCUGUCACUUAUAGAUGGAUCCGCGCCGCAUUAGCUAGUUGGUAAGGUAACGGCUUACCAAGGCAACGAUGCGUAGCCGACCUGAGAGGGUGAUCGGCCACACUGGAACUGAGACACGGUCCAGACUCCUACGGGAGGCAGCAGUAGGGAAUCUUCCGCAAUGGGCGAAAGCCUGGCGGAGCAACGCCGCGUGAGUGAUGAAGGUCUUCGGAUCGUAAAACUCUAUUAUUAGGGAAGAACAAAUGUGUAAGUAACUAUGCACGUCUUGACGGUACCUAAUCAGAAAGCCACGGCUAACUACGUG